AACCUGCUUUCUGAUUUAAUGCCAUUCUAAAGCUGCUUGCAAUAGACACACUGAAGGUGAACACAUGUUUACACUAAGAUAAGGGAACAUGUGUGUUAGGUCACGAAGCUUGUGAGUGGCAAGUGUCCUGGUCCCGGAAGAAAGUCUGUCUUUCCUUCCUUGUGAUGCCACAUGGAAAGCCAGAGUGCUGAGGUCAUUCCCCAGGGCACUCCCUAACUGCAUGACCAGAACCUUAGGGCUCACCAGCCCUCCUGCACUUCAGUGGACAAUGAGAGAAACCUAGGAUAGUCGAUCUUCUACAUGCAUUUUGGCCAUGUUGAUGUCAUCAUCGCAUUACCUAUUCACGAUCAUUAGAAGACGCAAUUUAAACCAAGAUUUCUUCUGCUAAAAACAUGUUAGAGCCAAGGUUGUGUAGGCUUCUUUUUCAUGGGGAAAUCUCAGAUCAUGCAUGCAAGAAUGCAACCUGGAAUGAGCUGGCAGACAGAGAUGACUAAAAGUCCCAAGCACAAGGUCAGGCCGGCCAGGAGUUUGAAACUGGAAAAUAGGCUGACUGUAUCUGAACUGCAUCAGAUAGCAUAUUCCUUUGGAAUGAUGGCAUCUAUUGGAUUGGUUUGCAGAUAUUGGUUUUGCAUCAACAAGGAAUCCCACGAAUGAAGAAAUCACGAAGCUUCCAGGCUGAAAUUUGCUGAAGAAUUGUGCUGUGGAGCAUUUAUAGAAAAAAACUCAUGAGAGACAUACCAAUCCUCUCUACCUCCUUGGGACCAUGAUGGAACAUAUACAAUUCAAGCAGCUGGAAUUCAGGCCCUGAUCCAGGUGACGGCUCAAAGAAACAGCUUCUCAGAGGCACUUUCCUGUUAAAAACCUCUACUUAGGAAAUGAAAGCUAAUUUGAUUAGAAAAGAUGUUUAAUUAACCACCCAGUCUAUAACUUUGCCAUUGAGUAGAAAUCUCGACGUCAUGUGUUUGAAUUUGAGAAGAUUACAACUAAUGGAGAUAAUUAGUUCUCCUUCUAAAUGAUACAAGUUCUUAUUUUAUUAUAUGGAUACAACCAAGGUCUUGGGCAAAAUCCAAAGGCAGUAUCUCCCAUUCACAUUCAAUAUGGGUAUGGGGUGGGGCUCACUGGUGCUAUGUACAAUCUUGAUGACCAUUGACUGAGAGAUAUGUCCAUAGUAAUGGUUGGUAGUAGAGAUGUACAAUAGGUCUGCAAAUGAUCCAGCCACAAAAUUGAGCUCCUUGUUGGCUAUACCUAAAGAUCUCCAGUGAAUGAAGACUUCCUGAAUGUUUUCACAUUGUCUGUGUUAAGUUGAGAGUGUGCUUGGGGCUUGAGAUGAAAAGCAGAAUACAGCUCAGAAAAUUGUGACCCAUCUUGAUGCAUCAUGAAGGGGAGUAGAGGCUCUCAGAACCAUGGAAUAAAGAAGUUGGAGACUCAGUAAUGGUACCCUGACUGGUUUGAAUUCAUAGACAUUGUUUCCUGUGUUGGUUAGGAUUUUACUUCUGCGAACAGACACCAUGACCAAGGCAACUCUUAUAAGGACAACAUUUAAUUGGGACUGGCUUGCAGACUUAGAGGUUCAGUCCAUUAUUAUCAAGGCAGGAACAUGACAACAUCCAGACAGGUGUAAUGUAGGAGGAGCUAACAGUUCUACAUCUUUGUUCUGAAGACAAACAGGUGAAGAUGGCUUCCAGUGACCUAGGAUGAAGGUCUUAAAGCCCAUGCCCACAAUGACACAUUUCCUCCAACAAGGCCACACAUCCUAAUAGUGCCACUCCCUGGGCUGAGCAUAUUCAAAUCAUCACAGCUCCCCAGCCCAAAACUCACAACUCCACUAAGAUCAAUUACAAGGUCUAAACCACUUCCACAUACGAUUCUCAAUCUUAUACUGUGAGCAUACUCCUUAGAACAAGAUCCCUAAGUCUAGCUUCAGGAUUCCUAAAAUAUUAUAACCAGGUUAUUCUCAACGCUAAUUUAAGUUUCUACAAAUGGCUGACAAAUUAUAUGCAUUCACCUGCAGUACUAAUGAAAACAUGAACCUUUGCUGGGCUUUGGUUGACAUUAUCAUUAGCCCAGUGUGAACACCCUUCUGUCUCAUUCUUGUUACAAGGUCUACUUAGCAAUAUCCAUAUUUUAUUUGGGGUAUGAAUUAUUAUUUAGUAAAUGUACAUUGACAGGUACAUUUUCUCCAAAAUUAAAAAGGAGGUCUAUGUAUAAGGGCAAUGACAUAAAAAGGAGUAUUGGGUAUGAAAAAUAGAGCUAUCAAUUUGAUGCUUUCUAAUUUUCUGUAGUAAAUUUUCUUCCCCAAUUCCCUCUGUAUUUAAUAGCUGGUCUUUUUAAUAUUAUUCUACACUGGGUUUUUGUGUGUGAUUAU
This is a long non-coding RNA of Mus caroli (Ryukyu mouse), 2365 nucleotides long. RefSeq lists it as uncharacterized. The record is from RefSeq and is a predicted model, not a curated record. Lineage: Eukaryota; Metazoa; Chordata; Mammalia; Rodentia; Muridae.